This 1515-nucleotide ribosomal RNA is filed under the name Triticum aestivum (bread wheat). Its description in RNAcentral is "partial small subunit ribosomal RNA". Lineage: Eukaryota; Viridiplantae; Streptophyta; Magnoliopsida; Poales; Poaceae. The record is from RNAcentral.
AUGAUGUGUCAUGUCCUAGGUAUGUCGAUUGCUUCAGCGGCUAAACGAAAGGGCUUGCCCGGUCGACAAGUUGAUAACCCCCGAGGUCGCAAACGGAGAAGGUAUUCAGUGCCGGAUCUUCCAAAGGACAUCUGGCAUGAUAUACUGUCCCUGCUGCCACUGACUGAUGCUGCUCGAGCUGGCUGUGUGUCUCAAACAUUUCGGAGCUCCUGGAGAUGCCAUCCCCACCUCACCCUAAAUAGUGAAACACUGGGCCUGAUUGGAAAUGCAUGUCGAAGAGAGGAACUGGGGCGGAUUUUCACCAACAGAGCUGACCACAUUAUGAAAAGACACUCGGGCGGUGUGAAGACAUUCAAGCUUCGCUACUGUGGUUCUUUUUUUGACAGCAGUUACCUCAACAGGUGGCUUGAGAUUGCUGUUACUCCUGGGAUUGAAGAAGUCAUACUUUCAAUGCCUGCAGGAUGCAACACAGUUAAUUACGACUUCCCAUGCUCAGUUUUACUCAAUGGGAGUGGAAACUCGAUUCGACAUCUUAACCUCAACCGUUGUGCUUUCCAUCCCACAGCGGGACUUGGUUGCUUGACAAGGCUGCAACUGUAUCAGGUGCACAUUACGGGAGAUGAGUUAGGACACCUUCUUUCCAACUCUCUUGCUAUGGAAGAGCUGAAUCUGAAUCGUUGUGACAAGAUCAUCUGCCUCAAGAUACCUUCCCUGCUACAUCGGCUCAACUGCCUGACAGUGUUUCGUUGCACAGCUCUGGAAGUGAUAGAGAAUAAAGCUCCAAAUGUUUGCGCUGUUCACAUUGAUGGCGCCCUAGAGAAACUUGCAGUUGGAGAUUUAUUGCAAGUGAAAGAACUACAAAUGCUGCAUGUCGAUGAAUCUAACCUUGUUCAUUAUGCUUGUUCCAAGCUUCCAUUCAUUAUGCCAAAUCUUGAAUUCCUCAGCGUAUGUUCGGCUGAAGAGAUGUUCAGUACGCCACUCUUAGCUGUCAAACUCCUGUACCUUAAGAACCUGCAGAUCUUUCUUGAUGAUGGACAGCUGGGGGGAUUUUCGCCAGCCUAUGAUUAUUUUUCUCUAGCUUAUUUUCUGGAUGCUUGUCCUGUCCUGGAGAACUUUAUCUUGGGUGUAUCACAGACUCGAGUAAAGCAUGAAUUGAUUUCUGCUGGAGACUCAAGCAUGAGACGGAUACCAGGACAUCAGUAUUGCAACAUGAAGAAUGUCAGUAUAAUGGGCUUCUGCUCUGCAAAGAGCAUGGUCGAACUAACCUGCCAUAUUCUUGAGAAUGCAACUUCACUCGAGUGCCUUAUGUUGGACACUGUAUAUGAUAAUCGGGAAGACACUGAUGGAUGUUGUGUCGAGGGAUCUCCUGGUGAAUGCCGCCCGAUAGGCAGGAGUAUGAUCAUGCACGCCCACAAAGGUCUAUGGGCUAUUGAAAAAUAUGUUGUGGAGAAAGUUCCAUCCACAGCCAAGUUAAAUGUUAAGAAGCUAUGCAGCCGCUGCCAUAAAAUCACAUGA